RNAcentral lists this ribosomal RNA (563 nucleotides) under bacterium fme09x27p277. RNAcentral describes it as "bacterial SSU rRNA". It matches the Rfam family "Bacterial small subunit ribosomal RNA", at positions 48 to 610 of the family's 1533-position model. The record is from RNAcentral.
GCUACACAUGCAGUCGAGCGGUAACAGAAGUAGCUUGCUACUUUGCUGACGAGCGGCGGACGGGUGAGUAAUGCUUGGGAACAUGCCUUGAGGUGGGGGACAACAGUUGGAAACGACUGCUAAUACCGCAUAAUGUCUACGGACCAAAGGGGGCUUCGGCUCUCGCCUUUAGAUUGGCCCAAGUGGGAUUAGCUAGUUGGUGAGGUAAUGGCUCACCAAGGCGACGAUCCCUAGCUGGUUUGAGAGGAUGAUCAGCCACACUGGGACUGAGACACGGCCCAGACUCCUACGGGAGGCAGCAGUGGGGAAUAUUGCACAAUGGGCGCAAGCCUGAUGCAGCCAUGCCGCGUGUGUGAAGAAGGCCUUCGGGUUGUAAAGCACUUUCAGUCAGGAGGAAAGGUUAGUAGUUAAUACCUGCUAGCUGUGACGUUACUGACAGAAGAAGCACCGGCUAACUCCGUGCCAGCAGCCGCGGUAAUACGGAGGGUGCGAGCGUUAAUCGAAUUACUGGGCGUAAAGCGUACGCAGGCGGUUUGUUAAGCGAGAUGUGAAGCCCCGGGCUC